GGGGGGGCUAGCGUUGUUCGGAAUUACUGGGCGUAAAGGGCGCGUAGGCGGUCUGCUAAGUUGGAUGUGAAAACUCUGGGCUUAACCCAGAGCCUGCAUUCAAUACUGACAGGCUAGAGUUCUGGAGGGGAUAGCGGAAUUCCUGGUGUAGCGGUGAAAUGCGUAGAUAUCAGGAGGAACACCGGUGGCGAAGGCGGCUAUCUGGACAGAGUCUGACGCUGAGGCGCGAAAGCUAGGGGAGCAAACAGGAUUAGAUACCCUGGUAGUCCUAGCCCUAAACGAUGGAUACUUGGUGUAACUGGGAUUGAAUCCAGUUGUGCCGAAGCUAACGCAUUAAGUAUCCCGCCUGGGGAGUACGGUCGCAAGGCUG
RNAcentral lists this ribosomal RNA (370 nucleotides) under uncultured organism. RNAcentral's name for it is "bacterial SSU rRNA". It matches the Rfam family "Bacterial small subunit ribosomal RNA", at positions 528 to 896 of the family's 1533-position model. The record is from RNAcentral.